Molecule: transfer RNA, 75 nt
Filed under: Peptostreptococcaceae bacterium
Lineage: Bacteria; Bacillati; Bacillota; Clostridia; Peptostreptococcales; Peptostreptococcaceae
Description: tRNA-Val
Rfam family: tRNA
About the family: Transfer RNA (tRNA) molecules are approximately 80 nucleotides in length. Their secondary structure includes four short double-helical elements and three loops (D, anti-codon, and T loops).
Source: RNAcentral
GCGGAAUUAACUCAGUGGUAGAGUGUUUCCUUGACGUGGAAGAAGUCGUGGGUUCGAGUCCCUCAUUCCGCACCA